CGCCUUUUGUUUGUCAUAGAAGGUCUAACCUGCCCGGUGCAUUAUGUAAACGGCUGCGGUAGCUUGACUGUACAAAGGUAGCAUAAUCAUUAGCCUAUUAAUUGUAGGAUGGAAUGAAGGGUAAAACGGGGGUAUACUGUCUCUUUCUAUUUUUUAGAAAUUAAUUUUUAAGUGAAAAAGCUUGGAUUUAAGCGAAGGACAAAAAGACCCUGGGAGCUUAAUAUUAACUCCCUUAUGGGGGCUAUUAAUUUGUUGGGGCAACAGAGGAUACUAACAUCCUUUAUUUUAGUGUCGGAGCUACUGUUUUGCAAUUAUUAGCUCCCCCAGGGAUAACAGCGUUAUUCCCCUUAGAGACCUUAUCGAAGGGGGGGAUUGCGACCUCGAUGUUGGACUAGAGAACCCGCCAACCGCAGAAGGCUGGUUGGUAGGUCUGUUCGACCUUUAAAUCUCUACACG
RNAcentral lists this ribosomal RNA (456 nucleotides) under Terebratalia transversa. RNAcentral describes it as "partial 16S ribosomal RNA". It matches the Rfam family "Bacterial large subunit ribosomal RNA", at positions 1817 to 2602 of the family's 2925-position model. Lineage: Eukaryota; Metazoa; Brachiopoda; Rhynchonellata; Terebratulida; Laqueidae. The record is from RNAcentral.